RNAcentral lists this non-coding RNA (110 nucleotides) under Gillisia limnaea DSM 15749. Its description in RNAcentral is "Bacterial large subunit ribosomal RNA". It matches the Rfam family "Bacterial large subunit ribosomal RNA", at positions 727 to 836 of the family's 2925-position model. The record is from Rfam by way of RNAcentral. Lineage: Bacteria; Pseudomonadati; Bacteroidota; Flavobacteriia; Flavobacteriales; Flavobacteriaceae.
GAUCUACCCUUGGGCAGGUUGAAGCUGUGGUAACACAUAGUGGAGGACCGAACCCGUUGACGUUGAAAAGUCUUGGGAUGACCUGAGGGUAGGGGUGAAAGGCCAAUCAA